UCCCGAUCGAGACUCAAAUUCUUUCAAGACUUGGAGUACACACUGAACUGAUUCUAUGUUACCCUCUAUGAAGAUCAGAAGAUCAUCAGCAAAAGACAGAUGCAGGAACUGAGCCAGUGCAGAAACUUCUGUGGAACGCCCAAGCCCUGAAGACAUGAGAAGAGGAAGUCCCAGGAAAGAGUAUCAAACGCCUUUGCAAUGUCGACUUUGAUGGAAACUUGGGGACCAUGGAGAGGAUUGUAGCAUUUGCUGAAAAAGGCAAGAAUCCCGAGUUAAAGAAGUGAGUAACUGCAUUUACUACAUCGAGUAACUGCAUUUACUACAUCAACACCAACAGAGUCCUACGCUGCCUUAAAGAACCCCGAGGAGUUGGGAUCAUCAUCAUUUGGGUGCACUGCUCCGGGGUAACCGCAUGAUUGAGCAAGUUUCCAAACCAUUCCGGAGAGGAGGCUAUGACUGGAGGCAAGUAAACUGGGCCUAACACAGAGCGAAAGUGGGAUACUGCAUGUUCACUCAUUUCCACAGGAUCAGUAAUCCAUACUCCUGAGCUUGUGAGGAAAGCUCUGAUUGCAUUGUAACUUGACCGGACCAGACAAAUCCUGUGAAAGAAGUUCCAUUUUUGGUGUAGGUCUCUCUCCGCUUGGAAGUUUGUGGAGCUCGGGUCUUGCAAUGCCUGUACCUGCACAAGUUGUAGUAAACUCUUCCAACACAACUGAGAGAUCGUUUGACACACGCUUCCAGCAUGAAUCCAGCCGUCUAUGAUCAACUGAGCGAACCCCGGGUGUUUGGUAAGGAGGAGUAUAGGUGAGGCAGUUUCGCAGGAUGUGACCAAGUUCAUGACAAUGCGAACAUGUUGGAGGCACCCAAGGAUAAUGGACUUGCACUUCCACCACUUAUCCACUCUCCCUUUCGAAUUCAACAACAGGCGGCAGAGUCUCCUUUGGUUCACAAACUAGUCCAGCAACUAAGCUCAGCCCUUCAUCAUACCGAAGAUCCAGAGGCACGCCUGUUAGGUGAGCCCAGAUUUGAAUUGCUUUUAGUGGGGGCGUGGACAUAGAGUGGUUUGAAUUCCACUGAGCAGUGUGGAACAUUGAAUCACCUACAUACCAUAUAUUUUUCUCCAGAAUCUUCUGCCUAAGAGUCGGGGAUGACCACACGAGGCCGACCAGAGGGAGCUAGAGUUGCGGGAGCGAGCCGCUUCAGAGACAUGUCAGCAGAGGCACGAAGAUUUUCUACUAAGGUUUGUUUCGGAGUUGGGACUGUGCCAUUUUUUGUUUCAGGGUUAGUAGAGGGCGGGGUAGGAUUAACAUUUAAGGUUUUUUUAGGCUGAGUCUGGGUAGUAGAGCAGGCUUUGUUGGAAAGGAUAGGUGAGGAAUCUCUGGGGGGAAGGGUUUCAUAGGUCUGGUUGAGAUUUGGCUCAGAAGUUCUUAGAUGGACUGUAGCAAUUUCAGAUCUGAGAAUUGGAAUAGUACCACCAGUAGAUAGGGUUGAGUUUUGUUGUCCAUUUCCAUCGGGAUAAUGUCGGAGCAGGUAGUAAUUUCUUGCUUCUUCUCUGUGGGAGAAGCAUUAGUAGAAGAUUGGAUGGGAUUUUUUCUGGUGCCUUUGCGGGAACCAGCAGAAGCAGUUUUGAAAGAGGCUUCAGACAAAGAAGGGAAGUUUCCAGAGGACAGGGGAGAAGACGGGUCAGGAGGGUCAGGGGGAAGGGAUGGCGGGGGUUCACCAGGAGCAAACACCGGCGGAUUCACACCGGAAGGGAGGCCAGGGACUUUCCAAACAGACUGCAUUGGGAACUGUGUCAGAGAGAGUCUGAACCAGAAUAUAUCUUGUUAUUGCUUUUUUAAGUCCCAAUUACUUCAAAAUUUCUUUAGUUAAGGAUUCUUCUUCGUGUCUUAGAGCAUGAUUAACCCGAAGUUUUUAGAGUUGAGUUCUUAGCGGAAGUUAAGAACUCCACUUUAAGAACUCAGGUUAAUCAUGGUCUUAGAGAUGUGAUCCGUUUCAUAUUUCUUCCUUUUACAUAGCAAAAGAAAAGUCAACAGAGAGGAAUCCUUACUAAU
This is a long non-coding RNA of Brassica oleracea var. oleracea, 2054 nucleotides long. RefSeq lists it as uncharacterized. NCBI's taxonomy places the organism in Eukaryota, Viridiplantae, Streptophyta, Magnoliopsida, Brassicales, Brassicaceae. The record is from RefSeq and is a predicted model, not a curated record. The transcript is spliced from 9 exons.